Molecule: unclassified non-coding RNA, 252 nt
Filed under: uncultured Caryophanaceae bacterium
Lineage: Bacteria; Bacillati; Bacillota; Bacilli; Caryophanales; Caryophanaceae
Description: uncultured Planococcaceae bacterium contains 16S-23S intergenic spacer region
Rfam family: Bacterial small subunit ribosomal RNA
Source: RNAcentral
UACGUAGGUGGCAUGCGUUGUCCGGAAUUAUUGGGCGUAAAGCGCGCGCAGGCGGUCCCUUAAGUCUGAUGUGAAAGCCCACGGCUCAACCGUGGAGGGUCAUUGGAAACUGGAGGACUUGAGUGCAGAAGAGGAAGGUGGAAUUCCAUGUGUAGCGGUGAAAUGCGUAGAGAUCGGAAGAACACCAGUGGCGAAGGCGACUCUCUGGUCUGUUACUGACGCUGAGGCGCGAAAGCGUGGGGAGCAAACAGG